This 23-nucleotide non-coding RNA is filed under the name Gallus gallus (chicken). The record is from RNAcentral. Lineage: Eukaryota; Metazoa; Chordata; Aves; Galliformes; Phasianidae. RNAcentral also lists the same sequence under 2 other names.
CUUGACUCUAGUCUGGCACGGUG